This is a long non-coding RNA of Chelonia mydas (Green sea turtle), 1777 nucleotides long. RefSeq lists it as uncharacterized. NCBI's taxonomy places the organism in Eukaryota, Metazoa, Chordata, Testudines, Cheloniidae. The record is from RefSeq and is a predicted model, not a curated record. The transcript is spliced from 3 exons.
UUUAUCGGCUAGUGCUGGGUCAAUAAUCCCCAGCCAGCCCCUCUGCUGCGCUCAACGGCUCCCGCGCGGGGCUGGGUUGUCCCGUCCCCAAGCGAUUAGCUCCGGAUUUGUCGCUUUUAGAUUGAUUCGGAUUCGUUCCGGAGCGCCCCGUGCCCUGGGUUCUGCCGCGGGGACGCGCGGGCUGCUGGGGCAGAGGCACCCGGCUGACCCCGGGGCAGGUCUUAACCCAGCACAACGACGUGGCCAACGUGCAGUAUGAUUCACCUUGGCAGCCUUGUGCUGAAGCAGCUAUGUGAGACCCACACCACCUUCUAGUCCCAUUGGCUUCCAUGCCAGUACAAGACAAAGAGGAGGGGAGGCGUGCGAUCUUUGCCUUGUUGAAUAGCUGCAUUCACCGCUGUUCCCUGCAAAAAAUGGACCUGUUAGUUUAUUAAUAACCUAAACAUUAGGUAUUAAAGACCUAUGAGUGACACAGGAUGACAAAAAGCUGUAUUUUUCCAAUAUACACAAGCACACAUUUAAUAACCUUCUAUUGCAUCUCAGCUAGGCCUUCUCUCUGAUGGUUCCCAUGGCAACUGAGAUAAAAAAGCAGCCAUUUUCCAUAUCUCUAUGAAAGUCUAUUAUAUUGCAGGAUUAGUUCAUCUUCUGCUAAGGUCAAACACAAAGUCAUACAACCUGAAAUAUUUAGAAUCCAUGUACGUUCAUUUUUUUUAUAUGCCCUUUCAUUUUCCACCAGAGUGGGCUCCUCUGAGGUUUUAUUCCCCAGAAAAUGCAAAGCAAAGCAAUAAAAAAACAUGAUUAGCCGUUGAUGAAAAGUUCUUUUCUUUUUUUUUUUUAAACUAUUGUUACAUAGAUAGUGUAUUACCCAUUUAUCUCUAUCAACAGCAAUGAUUUCUAGUGAUAUUGAACAGCUAAUUGGGCUCUUUGAGAUUUGCAGGCGAAGGCCGCCACCUUCUGGCCAGCAUUGGCGAAGCAUCCGAGUUUCCUAAGCAAAAGCUUUUGGUUUGUUUAUGGUGCAGUAGGUCCCAGAAGUUAAGCGCGGGAAGGAGAACCCAUUUCAUGGCCAACUAGGCUAGAAAGCUGCACUUAACGUUGUUCUGCUACAGCAUCAUGUGCCAGAAAGCCAAGAGACCAGCUCCUGGAUUGGAAAGGUAAGGCCCAUUUUCUGAUGCUGGGAUUAUUUAGCCUUCUCACUUUCAAAAUGACCCACGCUCAGGUGCAGUCAGGCUAGCCAGUGGCUGUAAUAUUUAUUGCACUAGCUAGUGGAUUCGAUCAGUGUAAAAUAAAGAUUCUUCUUUAUCUUGCAUAAAAAGUAGAUGUGUCCUGUCCCUUCUUUUUUGGUUGAUCCACUUCAUGAUAACUGUGGAUUCAAGGAAAGGCCACGAGCAACAGACCUGCCUAGCACUUCACUCACUCUGUUGGGGAAAAGCAAAAACUGGGCUGAAUUAUGAGCUAAAGUAGGAAGAAAUUAGAUCAACCUUAUUAGGGGAUAAAUCCUCACCAUCCUGCUGCCUUUCACAGUCAUAGCACUAGACAUGCACAGUUUCGCAAGAGAUGAGACCUUAAGCACGUAAGAAUGGCCACAUUGGGUCAGACCAAGGAUCUGUCUCACCCAGUAUCCUGUCUUCCAACAGUGGCUGGGUGCCAGAUGUGUCAGAGGAAGUGAACAGAACCGGGCAGUUUGAAUCAUCUAUCGCCUGUUGUCCAGUCCCAGUAUCUAGCAGUCAGAGGUUUAGGGACACCCAGAGCAUGGGGUUGCAUCCCUGACCGUCUUGGC